Molecule: ribosomal RNA, 807 nt
Filed under: Enterobacter sp.
Lineage: Bacteria; Pseudomonadati; Pseudomonadota; Gammaproteobacteria; Enterobacterales; Enterobacteriaceae
Description: bacterial SSU rRNA
Rfam family: Bacterial small subunit ribosomal RNA
Source: RNAcentral
UCGCAGUCUACCAUGCAGUCGAGCGGUAGCACGGGAGCUUGGUCCCGGGUGACGAGCGGCGGACAGGUGAGUAGUGUCUGGGAAACUGCCUGAUGGAGGGGGAGAACUACUGGGAACGGUAGCUAAUACCGCAUAACGUCGCAAGACCAAAGAGGGGGACCUUCGGGCCUCUUGCCAUCAGAUGUGCCCAGAUGGGAUUAGCUAGUAGGUGGGGUAACGGCUCACCUAGGCGACAAUCCCUAGCUGGUCUGAGAGGAUGACCAGCCACACUGGAACUGAGACACGGUCCAGACUCCUACGGGAGGCAGCAGUGGGGAAUAUUGCGCAAUGGGCGCAAGCCUGAUGCAGCCAUGCCGCGUGUAUGAAAAAGGCCUUCGGGUUGUAAAGUACUUUCUGCGGGGAGGAAAGUGUUGAGGUUAAUAACCUCACCAAUUGACAUUACCCCCAGAAAAAACACCGGCUAACUCCCUGCCCCCAGCCCCGGUAAUACGGAGGGUGCGCGCGUUAAUCGGAAUUACUGGGCGUAAAGCGCACACAGGCGGUCUGUCAAGUCGGAUGUGAAAUCCCCGGGCUCAACCUGGGAACUGCAUUCUAAACUGGCAGGCUAGAGUCUUGUGGAGAGGGGUAGAAUUCCAGGUGUAGCGGUGAAAUGCGUAGAGAUCUGGAGGAAUACCGGUGGCGAAAGCGGCCCCCUGGACAAGACAGACACUCACGUGCGAAAGCGUGGGGAGCGAACAGGAUUAGAUACCCUGGUAGUCCCCGCCGUAAACGAUGUCUACUUGGAGGUUGUGCCCUUGAGACGUGGCU